RNAcentral lists this non-coding RNA (81 nucleotides) under Oxyrrhis marina. The record is from RNAcentral. Lineage: Eukaryota; Dinophyceae; Oxyrrhinales; Oxyrrhinaceae.
CGACCCGCGGGGUGUGGUGGUUGUGGUGGCGGGCGUCGGAGGGGAUUCCCACGCCCCCUACGUGCGGAGCUUCGCCCAGGC